Molecule: long non-coding RNA, 6869 nt
Filed under: Coffea arabica (coffee)
Lineage: Eukaryota; Viridiplantae; Streptophyta; Magnoliopsida; Gentianales; Rubiaceae
Description: long non-coding RNA (CARA_LNC003539)
Source: RNAcentral
UCCCUGUUAGUUUUUUUUUCUAUUUUGGUCCAAUUGGUCCCAUACUUGGACCCUAUCCAAACAAGACAAAUAGCCAACAGGUUCUUCACCAUUUGCAGGAUUAUUGCAUCCCCUUGUCUGGGUACAAUGGAUCUAUGACUAUGAGAAGCCAUACCAAAACCUUAUCUUCACUGUCUUAUCAUGGUUAAUAUGGCCUUUCAUGAACUAAUGUUCAAAUACAGGGCAAAAUAGUCUAUAGAAGUUUAAGACACAGCCCCCUCAGCCCCAGGUUUUUGCUAGUUGCUAAAACAUUAUCCAUCAGUCCAUGCUCUUCAAUCUUCACAUGAAAGGAUUUAUAUAAAUACAUGACUCAGCAUUACAGCAUUCCAACAUCUUCAGAACCAUAUUUGAACUUGUCUUCUCAGAAGUCUCACUUCUUGAAGAGAACUUGUCUUAUAUUGUAUUUUCAGCAAAAAUCUCAAAAGUAUCCUCUGAAGUUCAGCACUUAGAUAUUAGAUAAACAAGAAAAUGAGUUCAACAAGCAGGGCUUGGAUAGCAGCACUGGGUGUGGGAGCAGUCCAGGCAAUGAGAUAUCAGGGAUUGUUCAGGUGGAAUCACACCAUAAGGUCAAUCCACCUGCAUGCCAAGAACAACCUCAGGUCCUUGUCUCAAUCCAAGCAGCUUUCUUCUUCUGCAUUUGUCUCAUCAAGGAAUAAAGCUGAAGAUCAAGAAAAACUAAAGGAGGCUGAAGAUUCAUUGAGGAAAGUCAUGUACUUGAGCUGCUGGGGACCAAAUUGAUUGAGCCCUCCAAAAGUAGUACUAGUUUGUAGUUGUUAGAUAUAGGAGGUGAUGUAAAGUUGAAGAUUUUGGUAAUAUUCUGGCUAAAAAAAUUGUAAAUUCUAAUAUUUAAGGCCUGCUAUGCCAAAUGAAUUGGAAUAGAAAAUUCAUGCCUUUUUUCAAAUAUAAUCUCUGUUAAUUUUUCUCAACUAAAUAUAUUGCAUUAGCCAUUGGAAUCUUGCGGAACGCAGAGUGGGAGAACCAACAAAGUGGACCAGUCGAGGCAGCCAUACUUCCAAAAUUCAUUUAUUUUCCUUUUCAAGAAAUGCUUAUUUUCAUAUAUGUCCUUAAAAUAAUAACAAAUAUAGUCCUUUUCACCAAAAUUUUCUCAAAAAUAUAAUAAUUAAGCUCCAAAAGCGAACCCCCUACUCCAAAAUGAGCGGUAUAGAAGCAAAUGAAUUUUUCCGAUGUUCUUUUUUUUUUUUUUUUUUGAAAGAAUUGCUAUGUUGUUGAAGGAAUUAAGCUCCAAAAGAGAACCCCUAUCUCAGUGUUUGGGUACCUAUGACAACUAACAAGUUACAAAACCAUGUGCUUAUUGUCAUUGUCAACUAUAACUAAUGUGUUUAUUUUUAUUUGUUAAGUAUCAUAACAUACUUAAAGAAGCACUCAAGACUAUUUCUUGUACAUGGAAGUCUAUGGUGGCAAUUCUCUUAAAAUUGACCCAACAUAACCACACAGAUGCUGCUCUGUUGUUGAGUGUUCUUUCUCCAUUUUAGAUUUUUCCCUUCAGUUUUUAAACAUUUUUCUACCCAACCCUCCCUCCCCCCCCCUCCCCAUUUAGUCUGUGGAUUCGGAGUUUCUGCACUCACCAAUAUCAAUUACAGUACACAAUGUAGACACUAUCACAAUAAAUAUAGGCAUUAACAUAUUAAAUAUAGAUACCAAGGGUGCGUUUGAUAAAACUGACAAUCUAAAACCUGAAUCCAUUAAGUUAUUGAAUUGUUAAAUAUUAAAUAUAAUACAUUUGAGUCUAUAUUACAUUUAGUGAUAAGUAAAUAACUUAUUAUUUAAUUUUCGGGGCAAGUUUUGCCUAGAAGAUUCAGUACAACUUAAUUAAUUCAGAUGUUUAAUUUUUAGUUAUCAAACGCGUCUGAACAUAUUAAGAUCUGAAUUUAUUAAGUUUAAGUGCUGAAUUGGGUUAUCAAACAAGGCCUAAGUUAGUAACAAGCAAAUCAUAAAAAAUUUUAGUGUUGAUUGAAAUUUGUGUUGCAAAAUUAAUCCCACAUCCAAAUUCAAAUUAAACCAAUAUGGGCUAGCAAUAGCAUGGUGCUAUUGAUUAACAAUUGUAGAAGUCCAAUUUCCUAAUUGUAGCAUAGAUGUCCACCUUAGACUUCUCCCUCCUGACUGUAAAUAGAAUAGAAUUCUCGUCCCAGAGAAAAUCAUAAACGUACACUGGAUAUAUACUUUGCUAACCAAGUAUGAAUAAAAUAUACAUAAAAAUGAAGUUGCAUUCAAAUGAAAUUAGUCUUCUACACACGUGACAUGGGUGCGAAUAAUCAGUAUUCUAAUAAUUUAUUACCCUCUCAAUGCUAAGUGAAGAAGAAGAUAGCAUUGGAUCACCAAAAAAAAAAAAAUUACAAUUUCUUCUUUUCUUUGCAUUGUUUGGUAAAAUAGGGAAAUAAAUAAUUCAAAAAUAGCCCACUUUACAUGUGGAUUACCACACCCUCCAAAGCCGGAAAAUGCCACAGCCCACCAUAAAAAAAAUCCCUGUAGCUGUUUUUGGAUUUGUUUUUGGAAGGUUUUUGGUUUGCAACAAUGCAUUUACACAAACACACAGAAACUCUAGAGAUGACAGAAUAUAAAUAUGACUUAACAUCCCAAUAGCUUCUGCAUCAAACACUCCUGAAAAAUCAAUCUGAAAACAUCUCUAGACUCUUAAACACUUCAUCAUCAACGAGGAAUUAAUCUUUCAGUUCUGCUACCUUCUUGCUGAAGAUGAGUUCAACAAGCAGGGAAUGGAUAGCAGCAGUAAGUGUAGGAGCAGUGGAGGCAAUGAAAGAUCAGGGAUUGAGUAGGUGGAACCACACAAUGAGAUCAAUGCACCAGCUUGCCAAGAACAACCUCAGGUCUUUGUCUCAGAACAAGCAGCUCUCUCCUGCACUGGCUUCAUCAAGCAGUAAAGCUAAAGAUCAAGAAAAGCUAAGGAGGUCUGAAGAGUCAUUCAGGAAAGUCAUGUACCUGAGCUGCUGGGGACCAAAUUGAUCGAGCCCCACCACUAAAACUACUAGGCAGUUUGUAAUUUUAAGAUACAUGGGGUGAUGUAAAACUGGAAAUUUUGGUAAUUUCCUAGCUACAAAAUUGUAAAUUUAAAAUUUGAGGCCCUUUUUUGCAAUGAAUUUGAAUAGAAAAUCCAUUUCUUUGUUAAAUUACGGGUUCUGUUAUUAUUCCUUAACUAAAUUAAUUGCAUUAGCAUCUCACGGAGCAGCAGAACUGCUUCAUUUUCCUUUUCAAGAAAUGCGUAAAUAUCCUUCAAGUAAUAAGAAUUAUUGUCCAUUUCACCAAAAAUUUCUCAAAUGCACGAGUAAACUCCAAAAAAGAAUGUUGUUUCUUUUUUUUUCCCCCGGUUGAAUCUAGAACGUUGUUGAUACUUGAUUGGUUAAUAUAUAGGAGCUAUCUAAACGGAGAGAAAAUACUCUCAUAUGUAAAUCCAAGACUUAGAUAGACUACAGAAAGUGUUACUUCUGGCGCAUACUACGUCUCCGUCCCAAAAUUCUAACAAGACAAAUGGCCAUUGGCCAACAGCUUCUUUGUAAUUCCAAGUUGCUAUCGCACUGUCUGGGUACAGUGCACCUAUUACAACUAACUAGUUAUAAAACCGGGUGCUCAUUCAUUGUCAACCAUGUACAGCUAGUUUUGUUAUGUUCACUCCCAUAGAUGUGAUUAACUACCGCAUUACAGGGGAAGCAUUACAAUGAUGUAUUUAGCCCAACUCGGGUAGCUCGAGUGAUUUCGUUGCUCCUCUUUAGAAUAUGGCGACCACGGUUUGAGUCCCGAGGAAAUCGUGUUCGAAAGGAACGGGUCUCUCUUCUCGGGUCACAGGAGGAGUAGUAGGGCCGAAGGCCCGGAUACCCCUAGAUCAGAAAAAAAAAAUUACAAUGAUGUAUUUAUCUGAUUUGGAGGUUCGCUCUCCAACUCUUUUGCAAUGGAGUAUUGUGCUUCCUUUCUUUAUAAAAUUCAGAGCACAGUAAUGCAUUUAUCUGAAUUGGAGGUUUGCUCUCCAACUCUUAUACAAAUCCAGUUAGGCUCAUCCUCUCUCUUAUAGUGUAGCAGCAGUCUUCAUCGUUGUAUCCAAAAUUAAUCUCUUUUAUUCAAAUUCAAAUUAACCUGAUAUGCUCCAUCGAUUGCUUGCUUGGUGCUAUUGAUCUGAUAAUUGCAGGAAACAAGUCCCCUAUUUUGUACAAUGAAAGUGUGAUAGAGACGUCAAUCGUAAACUUUUCCAUCCUAAUUAUAGACAGGAUUGUAGUCAUCCAAGAGAAAAUCUCAAAUAUACAUUGAAUAUGUUUGCUUAUUGAUUAUGAACAAAACAAAUAAAAGUAAAGUUGUAUCUGAAUGGAAUUAGCCUUUUGUAUAUGUGACAUGGGUACAAGUAAUCAAUAACUCCUAAUGAUUGAUUACCCUCUCAAUGCUAAGUCAAGAAGAAGAUAGUUUAGAUAGAGUAUUAUUUGAAAUAAUUAUUAUAGCAUUUUUUAUGAUGUGCACAUGAGAUUAAAAAAUAGUUGAAAACAUUAACAAUUAUGGUUAAAAAAUAUAUUUAUGAUGCUAACAAAAUAAUAUUUAGGUAUAAUUUCAGAAACCUUCCUUGGGGUUUUUGACAAUUACACAUAAAUACUCUCCAAUAUCAAAAAUUACAGUGCCCUCCCCUUAAUUGACAUAUUUGAUAACAAAUUAAGUCCAUGUUAGAAAAAGUACUCUUAAAGUAAUGAAUCAGUUUUGUCAAACAAUUAUAUUUCAAGUUUGCCCUCAUUGAAUCUUAAAGAAAAUAAGUUAAAAUUUUGGGCAAGAAAAAUGGCAAUAAAAAAAGGAAGAAAAAUUGGCACCAAGUUCAUCCGCUAAGGACAUGAAAUUAACAUUAAACAAAUCAGCAUUUUGGACAGCAAAGUCCUACAAGAAUUGAUGGUACUUUGUGGACAAUAUAUAGCAUAAAAUGCUAGUGAAUGAGCACAAAAAAAAAAAAGAGGCCAAUUUCAACUGAAUACAAAGGCAAUGAAAGAAACAUGUCUUCAUCAAACUAUCGUCGGAGCUCAUUUCAUGCAGGCACAUCAUUGAGGAUGAAAAAUAGAAACUAUAAUGGGUGUGGAUGGAAAGCAACAAUUAAAAUUUUUUAAAGCAAAAAAAAAAAUUCCUGGCAGGUUAUAUUUUGGUUGUUCUAAGUAUGGCUAUUUCAAGUGGUUUGAUGGCAAUGUAGCCAAAGAAGUGAGUAGUCGAAGACAAGAAGAUCCAACACAAGUUCAAAUAUCAAAAAGCAUUGGCAACAAUGUAGUGUCACCGACCCAAAUAUUGAUAAUGAUCAACAUGAGUUUACUAAUUAUAUUCAUUUUCAUUCAAAUUGUAAAGUUCAUUUGAAAUAUGGAUAUAAUUGUAAGAAUGUACCACAAAAAGUGUCUUGGUAGUUAUAUAGUGGCAGAACUAAAAGGCCAUAAAACGGUGGAUUUAAAUUCAUCUAUGAUAUUUAGUAAGAGUUUAUCUACUGUGAUUCAAAAUCAAAGAUUCUAGAUGUACAAAGCACUAUAAACUAAAUAAACUAAAACAAGUCUUAAAUAUAAUAAACAACAAGGUCAUACACUUCAAACUGGUUGAAUACCCAUAACAAGCAAUCCAAGGCAAGAAAAACAUGUCAACAAGGUUAUACACUUAAUGGCGCCAAAUUGCAUAUAAAAAUACUAUACUUGGAAAACUAGUCUUUUCCCCAUAUUUUUAGUAUUUUAGGGAUUGAUUUUGUGGGCUGUUGAAUAUGACAACCGGUCAUAUCAAAGUGAAAGAGGAGGGCACUGUAAUUUUUUAUAUUGGAAGGUAUUUAUGUGUAAUUGUCAGAAACUUCAGGGGAGGUUUCUGAAAUUAUCCCUAAUAUUUAUACUAUAUAUAAAGGGAGCCUUAAAUUUGAUGUAAACUUUUUUUUGUCAUCUUUUAGAUUUCCAGCUUCACCCUCUCGAUCACUUAAUUAUACCACCAUAUUGCUAAUCAACUUAACCACAAAUUAACUUUCACCCCAAUUAUCUAAAUAUAUAUUGCCUACAUAACUACCUACAAACAUUGUAACCAACAAGUUAAUUAAAAUUCUAUUAAAGAACUAUUUUUUUGACAAAUAUUCAAAAAACUAGUAAAAGAUCAAAAUUUACUUGUUCAUGUAUGAAAAUUUUAUACUAAAUUCUUUCAUAUAAAGGAUCGUUCCGAAAUUCCACAUACAUCGAGUGUGCCUUUAUCGCUAAUUUGAGAUAAUAUGUGUAUCCAAACAUAGUAAUAAUUUCUUCUAUUCUUUGCUUUGUUCGGUAAAAUGGAUUAAAAAAGCAAAUGAAAAAUACCCCACUCGACCUUUACAAAACCGCCCUCCCCAAAGUCAGUGGAUAAAUACCACAGCCCAUGAGCCCACUAGAAAUUUAAAAAACCAUAAACUCCAAGACCACUGGAAAAGCACCCAGCCCCUGGUUUCUGCAACAACUUAUUUACACAAACUUUUGAGAUGACAGAAUAUAAAUAUGGCUGAACUCCCCAACAACAUCAGCACCAAAGAACAUCUUCUCAGAAUUCAGAAAAACAUCUCUAGUACUCAACCAAGCUUCAAGAGUUCCAGAAAGACUCCAUCAUCAACAAGGAAUCUUUACAGUUUUAAAAUUUAUUCUUGCUGAAAAUGAGUUCAACAAGCAGGGCGUGGAUAGCAGCGGUGAGUGUAGGCGCAGUGGAGGCAAUGAAAGAUCAGGGAUUGAAUAGGUGGAACCACACCAUGAGGUCUGUACACCAGCUUGCCAAGAACAACCUCAGGUCCCUGUCUCAGACCAAGCAGCUUUCUCCUUCUGCAUUGGCUUCAUCAAGCAGUAAAGCUAAAGAUCAAGAAAAAC